This 1504-nucleotide long non-coding RNA is filed under the name Bos grunniens (domestic yak). RNAcentral's name for it is "lncRNA (ENSBGRG00000022370.1)". The record is from RNAcentral. Lineage: Eukaryota; Metazoa; Chordata; Mammalia; Artiodactyla; Bovidae.
AGCAGAAGAGGUGGGGAGCUUCUAUGAGCCUUACAGUAAGAAGAGGAGAGGGGACGUCAGGUGGGGCCUUGGCAGGGCCUGAGGCACAGAGCUGACGCUUGAGGCGAAGCCUGAAGAGCCAGGCCUGGGCUCACUUGGAAUCACCCUGUGUCUGGAAAGGGGAUCCUGGGGGAGACGUGACCGUUGGGCUGUAUGCCGAGGUCCUGCGAGCCUCGUAGUAGCCCAGCCUCAAGACCAAAGAGCCCAGAGACAGAGACAACAACUUAUCAGAUGGGGGAAUCUUACAUAGCUGAAGCCACAUCCUGGAGCAACACCCCACUGUGGACGGCAGACGGCAGGCAGGACAUGGCAGCACCGUCUGCUACUCUGGAGGAGGAGGCGGCUACCAGUUAUAGAGAGCAUUGACUUUAGAUGGGCUCAUCAGUUACCAGGGAAACCAGCUGGGGGCAGGGGCAGGCAUGUGGACAGUCACAGAUAAAGGCCUAUGAUUAACAGGAUUGAACAGUCCUGUGUGUGAAGUAGGGACUGGUGGAGCAGGAGAUGCACAGACAGCAAGUGAACAGCCAUCUUGAGUGGCCUGGCCAUACACCCACACAUCUUGCAUGACUCUUAUAAUCCUGGCCCUGCCCCUCUUCUGAGAUAUCCCUGGGGUCAGGUAUGCAGAGGUGCAUUGCAACCAGAUACCACAAAUAUAACUACAGAUUGUUGUUUUUGCUGUUUAGUCUCUAAGUUGUUUUCAAUUCUUUUGCAACCCCAUGAUAACAGUAGCUAGAAGAAUACCAAGAAUUCCCAGGUGGUGCAGUGGUAAAGAAUCAGCCUGCCAACACAGAAGACACAAGAGACACCGGUUCGAUCCCUGGGUCAGGAAGAUCCCUGGAGUAGAAGUGGCUACCCACUCCAGUAUUCUUGCCUGGGAAAUCCCGUGGACAGAGGAGCCUGGCAGGCCACAGUCCAGGGGGUCGCAGAGUCGGACACGACUGAGUGCACACACAAUCAAGAGUAAGACACAAAGAAUGCUAACGAUAGUCAUUCCCCAAGAGGUGGGCCAACUUUGGGUGAAGUUUUCAUGGAAGUCCAGAGGGAGACCCUGCAGUCAGACUUGCCGAUGGUGACGCCAGGACUUCCCUGGUGGCUCAAUGGUGGGAAGUCCACCAGCCAAUGCAGGGGACACGAGUUUGGUCCCUGGUCUAAGAAGAGCCCACAUGUCUUGGAGCAACUAAGCCCUGCACCAUAACUACCGAAGCCUGCACAUUCCAGAGCCUGAGAGUCACAACUAACUAGCCCCUGUGCUGCAACUGCUGCAGCCCGUGCGCCUAGAGCCUGAGCUCCACAAAAGAAGCCACUGCAGUGGGAAGCCUGUGCUCUGCAGCUAGAGUCGCCCCCACUCUCCACAACUAGAGAAAACCCACGCCAACAACGAAGACAGCGCAGCCUUAAACAAGUAAAUAAAAUGGUGAGGCCACCACUGUCACCUGGUCCCCAGAUUCCCUCUGCUCAGGCUGGG